Molecule: ribosomal RNA, 254 nt
Filed under: uncultured bacterium
Lineage: Bacteria
Description: partial 16S ribosomal RNA
Rfam family: Bacterial small subunit ribosomal RNA
Source: RNAcentral
UACGUAGGGUGCAAGCGUUGUCCGGAAUUAUUGGGCGUAAAGAGCUCGUAGGCGGUUUGGUAAGUCAGGUGUGAAAUCUCCACGCUCAACGUGGAGGGGCCACCUGAUACUGCCAUGACUGGAGUCCGGUAGAGGAGUGUGGAAUUCCCGGUGUAGCGGUGAAAUGCGCAGAUAUCGGGAGGAACACCCGUAGCGAAGGCGGCACUCUGGGCCGGUACUGACGCUGAGGAGCGAAAGCGUGGGGAGCAAACAGG